Molecule: ribosomal RNA, 1431 nt
Filed under: uncultured organism
Description: SSU rRNA
Rfam family: Bacterial small subunit ribosomal RNA
Source: RNAcentral
CAGGCUUAACACAUGCAAGUCGAGGGGCAGCACAGGUAGCAAUACCGGGUGGCGACCGGCGCACGGGUGAGUAACGCGUAUGCAACUUACCUAUCAGAGGGGGAUAACCCGGCGAAAGUCGGACUAAUACCGCAUGAAGCAGGGGCCCGCAUGGGGAUAUUUGCUAAAGAUUCAUCGCUGAUAGAUAGGCAUGCGUUCCAUUAGGCAGUUGGCGGGGUAACGGCCCACCAAACCGACGAUGGAUAGGGGUUCUGAGAGGAAGGUCCCCCACAUUGGUACUGAGACACGGACCAAACUCCUACGGGAGGCAGCAGUGAGGAAUAUUGGUCAAUGGCCGAGAGGCUGAACCAGCCAAGUCGCGUGAGGGAUGAAGGUUCUAUGGAUCGUAAACCUCUUUUAUAAGGGAAUAAAGUGCGGGACGUGUCCCGUUUUGUAUGUACCUUAUGAAUAAGGAUCGGCUAACUCCGUGCCAGCAGCCGCGGUAAUACGGAGGAUCCGAGCGUUAUCCGGAUUUAUUGGGUUUAAAGGGUGCGUAGGCGGCCUUUUAAGUCAGCGGUGAAAGUCUGUGGCUCAACCAUAGAAUUGCCGUUGAAACUGGGGGGCUUGAGUAUGUUUGAGGCAGGCGGAAUGCGUGGUGUAGCGGUGAAAUGCAUAGAUAUCACGCAGAACCCCGAUUGCGAAGGCAGCCUGCCAAGCCAUUACUGACGCUGAUGCACGAAAGCGUGGGGAUCAAACAGGAUUAGAUACCCUGGUAGUCCACGCAGUAAACGAUGAUCACUAGCUGUUUGCGAUACACUGUAAGCGGCACAGCGAAAGCGUUAAGUGAUCCACCUGGGGAGUACGCCGGCAACGGUGAAACUCAAAGGAAUUGACGGGGGCCCGCACAAGCGGAGGAACAUGUGGUUUAAUUCGAUGAUACGCGAGGAACCUUACCCGGGUUUGAACGCAUUCGGACCGAGGUGGAAACACCUUUUCUAGCAAUAGCCGUUUGCGAGGUGCUGCAUGGUUGUCGUCAGCUCGUGCCGUGAGGUGUCAGCUUAAGUGCCAUAACGAGCGCAACCCUUGCCACUAGUUACUAACAGGUAAAGCUGAGGACUCUGGUGGGACUGCCAGCGUAAGCUGCGAGGAAGGCGGGGAUGACGUCAAAUCAGCACGGCCCUUACAUCCGGGGCGACACACGUGUUACAAUGGCGUGGACAAAGGGAAGCCACCUGGCGACAGGGAGCGAAUCCCCAAACCACGUCUCAGUUCGGAUCGGAGUCUGCAACCCGACUCCGUGAAGCUGGAUUCGCUAGUAAUCGCGCAUCAGCCAUGGCGCGGUGAAUACGUUCCCGGGCCUUGUACACACCGCCCGUCAAGCCAUGGGAGCCGGGGGUGCCUGAAGUCCGUAACCGAAAGGAUCGGCCUAGGGUAAAACUGGUGACUGGGGCU